This is a small nuclear RNA of Ochotona princeps (American pika), 103 nucleotides long. Lineage: Eukaryota; Metazoa; Chordata; Mammalia; Lagomorpha; Ochotonidae. The record is from Ensembl.
GUGCUCAUUUCUGCAGCACAUACACUAAAAUAGCUAUACAGAGAAGAUCAGCAUGUGCCCUGCUCAAAGAUAAUAUAAAAUUAAAGAAAUAGUCUGUAUUUUU